Molecule: ribosomal RNA, 253 nt
Filed under: uncultured bacterium
Lineage: Bacteria
Description: partial 16S ribosomal RNA
Rfam family: Bacterial small subunit ribosomal RNA
Source: RNAcentral
CACGUAGGGGACGAGCGUUGUCCGGAUUCAUUGGGCGUAAAGCGCGCGUAGGCGGCUCGGAAAGUCGGGCGUGAAAUGCCGGGGCUCAACCCCGGGACUGCGGUGGGUACGGGCAGACUAGAGUGAUGUAGGGGAGACUGGAAUUCCUGGUGUAGCGGUGAAAUGCGCAGAUAUCAGGAGGAACACCGAUGGCGAAGGCAGGUCUCUGGGCAUUAACUGACGCUGAGGAGCGAAAGCAUGGGGAGCGAACAGG